GUUUUACCCUAGGACGCUCCUUGCGGUUACGUACUUCAGGUACCCCCGGCUUUCAUGGCUUGACGGGCGGUGUGUACAAGGCCCGGGAACGUAUUCACCGCGCCAUGGCUGAUGCGCGAUUACUAGCGAAUCCAGCUUCACGAAGUCGGGUUGCAGACUUCGAUCCGAACUGAGAGAGGCUUUUGGGAUUAGCAUCCUGUCACCAGGUAGCUGCCUUCUGUACCCCCCAUUGUAACACGUGUGUAGCCCCGGACGUAAGGGCCGUGCUGAUUUGACGUCAUCCCCACCUUCCUCACAUCUUACGACGGCAGUCUCUCUAGAGUCCUCAGCAUGACCUGUUAGUAACUAAAGAUAAGGGUUGCGCUCGUUAUGGCACUUAAGCCGACACCUCACGGCACGAGCUGACGACAACCAUGCAGCACCUUCACAUUUGCCUUGCGGCUAACCUGUUUCCAGAUUAUUCAAAUGCAAUUUAAGCCCGGGUAAGGUUCCUCGCGUAUCAUCGAAUUAAACCACAUGUUCCUCCGCUUGUGCGGGCCCCCGUCAAUUCCUUUGAGUUUCACCGUUGCCGGCGUACUCCCCAGGUGGAAUACUUAAUGCUUUCGCUUGGCCGCUUACUGUAUAUCGCAAACAGCGAGUAUUCAUCGUUUACUGUGUGGACUACCAGGGUAUCUAAUCCUGUUUGAUACCCACACUUUCGAGCAUCAGUGUCAGUUGCAGUCCAGUGAGCUGCCUUCGCAAUCGGAGUUCUUCGUGAUAUCUAAGCAUUUCACCGCUACACCACGAAUUCCGCCCACCUCUACUGUACUCAAGACAGCCAGUAUCAACUGCAAUUUUACGGUUGAGCCGCAAACUUUCACAACUGACUUAACUGUCCACCUACGCUCCCUUUAAACCCAAUAAAUCCGGAUAACGCUCGGAUCCUCCGUAUUACCGCGGCUGCUGGCACGGAGUUAGCCGAUCCUUAUUCAUAUGGUACAUACAAAAUUCCACACGUGGAAAACUUUAUUCCCAUAUAAAAGAAGUUUACAACCCAUAGGGCAGUCAUCCUUCACGCUACUUGGCUGGUUCAGGCCUGCGCCCAUUGACCAAUAUUCCUCACUGCUGCCUCCCGUAGGAGUUUGGACCGUGUCUCAGUUCCAAUGUGGGGGACCUUCCUCUCAGAACCCCUAUCCAUCGAAGGUUUGGUGAGCCGUUACCUCACCAACUGCCUAAUGGAACGCAUCCCCAUCGAUAACCGAAAUUCUUUAAUAANAAGACCAUGCGGUCUGAUUAUACCAUCGGGUAUUAAUCUUUCUUUCGAAAGGCUAUCCCCGAGUUAUCGGCAGGUUGGAUACGUGUUACUCACCCGUGCGCCGGUCGCCAUCUCCAGUUUGCAAGCAAACUGAAAUGCUGCCCCUCGACUUGCAUGUGUUAAGCCUGUAGCU
Molecule: ribosomal RNA, 1427 nt
Filed under: Bacteroides thetaiotaomicron
Lineage: Bacteria; Pseudomonadati; Bacteroidota; Bacteroidia; Bacteroidales; Bacteroidaceae
Description: partial 16S ribosomal RNA
Source: RNAcentral